RNAcentral lists this transfer RNA (62 nucleotides) under Cassianeura bimaculata. Its description in RNAcentral is "tRNA-Arg". Lineage: Eukaryota; Metazoa; Arthropoda; Insecta; Hemiptera; Cicadellidae. The record is from RNAcentral.
AACAAAGAAGUAAACUUUUACAUUUAGUUUCGGCCUAAAAAUAGGAUUAUCAUCCCAUGUUU